AGAGGUUGAUAUACUGAGGCAGAGCUUGAGAAUCGUGAGCAGUAUGAAUGCACCAUGCUUUGAUCUUAGCAAACCCAAGUUGACAAUUGUGAAACAGGCUAGCAAAGCGUAGCAUUUUAAGUAAAGUUCCACUUUCUGGUAGAUUGUAUGGCUAUUAAAAUUCAAUGAAACAAAAACUCCAACUUCGCAUUGCUCUAAUUGCUUGCCAGUCAAAUGCAGCAAACUUUAUGAAAUACUGUCUGGAAUAAUAAGUAUGAGGUAGUAGACUUUAGGAGAAAGAGACAAGAAAAUGUGGGACACCUGAUAGUCCUCUUCCCCAUACCCAUCUGAGCUUCUGGUUGAACUAAUUCGUCUUGCAAUUCUAGCUAGAGGCGUAUUUAGUUUCAUCUCUAGUAAACUUUUUCCUUGUUAGUCCCAUAUACUAUUUGCUUGUUAAAAUGCCUUUGAAGAUAGUCCUAUUUCCAAGGCAAAUUCCUUGAGAAGGGAAAGAAAUAACUUCAGAAUUUAUUCUUCACAAAAUUUGCA
RNAcentral lists this unclassified non-coding RNA (525 nucleotides) under Hevea brasiliensis (rubber tree). The record is from RNAcentral. Lineage: Eukaryota; Viridiplantae; Streptophyta; Magnoliopsida; Malpighiales; Euphorbiaceae.